UUGUAAGUGUCUAAGGGCGCAUGGUGGAUGCCUUGGCAUCGAGAGCCGAUGAAGGACGUGGGAGGCUGCGAUAUGCCUCGGGGAGCUGUCAACCGAGCGAGUGGAUCCGAGGAUUUCCGAAUGGGGAAACCCAGCACGAGUGAUGUCGUGCUACCCGCAUCUGAAUAUAUAGGGUGCGGGAGGGAACGCGGGGAAGUGAAACAUCUCAGUACCCGUAGGAGGAGAAAACAAUUGUGAUUCCGCAAGUAGUGGCGAGCGAACGCGGAACAGGCUAAACCGCACGCAUGGGUAACCGGGUAGGGGUUGUGUGUGCGGG
This 316-nucleotide ribosomal RNA is filed under the name Mycobacterium tuberculosis. RNAcentral describes it as "partial 23S ribosomal RNA". It matches the Rfam family "Bacterial large subunit ribosomal RNA", at positions 1 to 296 of the family's 2925-position model. The record is from RNAcentral. Lineage: Bacteria; Bacillati; Actinomycetota; Actinomycetes; Mycobacteriales; Mycobacteriaceae.